This 466-nucleotide ribosomal RNA is filed under the name uncultured bacterium. Its description in RNAcentral is "bacterial SSU rRNA". It matches the Rfam family "Bacterial small subunit ribosomal RNA", at positions 29 to 507 of the family's 1533-position model. The record is from RNAcentral.
AAUGAACGCUGGCGGCGUGCGUAACACAUGCAAGUCGAACGUGAAAGUCCCCUUCGGGGGAUGAGUAAAGUGGCAAACGGGUGAGUAACACGUGGGUAACCUGCCCUCUGGUGGGGGAUAACCCUGCGAAAGCGGGGCUAAUACCGCAUAACAAAUCGCUAAAUAAUUAGUCGACUUCAAAGCCUUCGGGCGCUAGAGGAGGGGCCCGCGUCCCAUUAGCUAGUUGGUAGGGUAACGGCCUACCAAGGCUGCGAUGGGUAGCCGGCCUGAGAGGGUGUCCGGCCACACUGGAACUGAGACACGGUCCAGACUCCUACGGGAGGCAGCAGUGGGGAAUUUUGCGCAAUGGGCGAAAGCCUGACGCAGCGACGCCGCGUGGGUGAUGAAGUUCUUCGGAACGUAAAGCCCUGUCAGGAGGGACGAAGCUCUGACGGUACCUCCAAAGGAAGCCCCGGCUAACUCCGUG